RNAcentral lists this ribosomal RNA (497 nucleotides) under uncultured bacterium. RNAcentral's name for it is "partial 16S ribosomal RNA". It matches the Rfam family "Bacterial small subunit ribosomal RNA", at positions 28 to 507 of the family's 1533-position model. The record is from RNAcentral.
GAUGAACGCUGGCGGCGUGCCUAAUACAUGCAAGUCGAGCGAACGGACGAGAAGCUUGCUUCUCUGACGAUAGCGGCGGACGGGAGAGUAACACGUGGAUAACCUACCUAUAAGACGGGGAUAAUCUCGGGAAACCGGAGCUAAUCCCGGAUAAUAUUCUGAACCGCAUGGUUCAAAAGUGAAAGACGGUCUUGCUGUCACUUAUAGAUGGAUCCGCGCUGCAUUAGCUAGUUGGUAUGGUAACGGCUUACCAAGGCAACGAGGCAUAGCCGACCUGAGAGGGUGAUCGGCCACACUGGAACUGAGACACGGUCCAGACUCCUGCGGGAGGCAGCAGUAGGGAAUCGUCCGCAAUGGGCGAAAGCCUGACGGAGCAACGCGGAGUGAGUGAUGAAGGUCUUCGGAUCGUAAAACUCUGUUAUUAGGGAAGAACAUAUGUGUAAGUAACUGUGCAGAUCUUGACGGUACCUAAUCAGAAAGCCACGGCUAACUACGUG